Molecule: long non-coding RNA, 1568 nt
Organism: Mesoplodon densirostris (Blainville's beaked whale)
Lineage: Eukaryota; Metazoa; Chordata; Mammalia; Artiodactyla; Ziphiidae
Exons: 5
Source: RefSeq, a predicted model, not a curated record
CUACUGCUUCCCCUUCUUCAUCCAACCAGAAGCCCUGCUUGCGCCUUCCUGUGGAGCCAGAGGGAGAAGAGGUGAAGCAGAAGUAUAACGUGCAUCCAGAGAAGUGCAAAGACUUGGGCAUUUUGCAAAGUGAAUAUAACCAGCACCAGGAUCAAGAAGCACCAUAAUCAGGAUCUGGAAGUCCCCCCAAAUAUCAGAGGCAAAGACUUCUGAAGGCCAGUGCUCCAACUUGAGAAAGCUGUGGAGGCUGUGGUUCAGGCCCAGGGGAUGAGCGUGGACGAAGUAGAAUAGUAUGCUGACUAGACCAGUGCUUCUCAAACUGCAGUGUGCCACUGAAUGACCCAGGCGUCUGGUUUAAAGGCAGGUUCUGAUUCAGCAAGCUCGGAAGGGGAUGCUGCGGUUCUACAUUUCUGUCAAGCUCCUACACUUGGUUAGCAAGGCCUUGAACCCAGAGAUUCUCAAUAAUGCUGUACAUAAGAAUCACAUGGGAGGCUUUUAAAAACACUGCUGCCCAGGUCCCACCCCAGAACAAUUCCGUUGCAAUCUCUGGGGUGGGGCUCAGCAUCCAUAGGUUUUAAAAGCUCCCCUGGUGAUUCCAGUGUGCAACCAGAAACAGUGGGUGCUGGUUCCCUGGAGUACCCCCAGUGCCUGAGCUGAGGUGGGAGGAAGUGAGGUGUGGGGUCAGGUCUGGUGUCUGAGCAAACAAUCCAGUAUGACAAAAGGCAAGAGGUUUCUUAGUCAGGAAUGGACCAUUUGCCCCUUAGAGGAGGUGAAGGGAGGGAUUUCUGAAGCAAUUCUUUGGCGUGGGGCUAUCUGCUAACCCAGGUAACAUCCUCCCAGGACCAAGAACAGACCUGUGCCUUCACCUUAUCAAGCAAGUCAGAGCCCCCCCAGAGCUGCUCCGGGGCUGGGCUCACAUGCCCCCAAGCAGUUCAAACAUUUUCAAAACCUUACUAGGGCAGUGGGAGGAGGUGCUGCCAGCUGCUCCCACACCCUGCCCCCUCUGCCCUGCUAGAGAAAGAGCCAGAUGAGUCCAGAGAUUACAAGCCCUGGAUCAACAUGGACUAUUCAGGAUGAAGCACCAUAGUGCUGGGUUCUGACGCCCUCUGGUGGACACCUAGAGUUGAAGUUGGUAACCAACCAACAGACUACGGCGUCCAGGUCACUUCUCCAGGCUUUACUCCCAUCCACAGUCUGUUUGCCUGUGUUUACUUUUUAAGUCCUCAGGCUGUGCACGUGGCUACUAAUUCUGACAGGGGAAAGCUUGGACAUAGGUGAGGCAAUUAAAAGGCUUCCCAAUUCUAGUGGCUGCAAUUCCUGCAAGCAUACUGAAGAAUUCUGGCUGGCACUUGUAGCUACGAGAUUCAGUUGUAUAAUGUUUUCUUUGGUAAUUGCUUAGUAGAAAGCCUGUAAAAUAAAACCCUUACCAAUUAUGCCUUUUACUAUAGAGCAGCAGUGUCCACUAACCAUUAGCUAUUGAGCACUCAAAGUAGGGGUAGCCCAAAUUGUGAUGUGAUAAGCACAAUGGAUUUUGAAGACUCAGUAUGGAAAAAGGAAUAUAAAAUAUC